This 460-nucleotide ribosomal RNA is filed under the name uncultured Glomus. RNAcentral's name for it is "SSU rRNA". It matches the Rfam family "Eukaryotic small subunit ribosomal RNA", at positions 569 to 1036 of the family's 1831-position model. Lineage: Eukaryota; Fungi; Glomeromycota; Glomeromycetes; Glomerales; Glomeraceae. The record is from RNAcentral.
AGCAGCCGCGGUAAUUCCAGCUCCAAUAGCGUAUAUUAAGGUUGUUGCAGUUAAAAAGCUCGUAGUUGAAUUUCGGGGUUAGCAGGUCGGUCGUGCCCAAUGGUAUGCACUGGCUCGCUGACUCCUCCUUCUUGUAGAACCGUAAUGCCAUUAAUUUGGUGUUGCGGGGAAACNGGACUGUUACUUUGAAAAAAUUGAGUGUUUAAAGCAGGCUAGCGCCUGAAUACAUUAGCAUGGAAUAAUGAAAUAGGACGUUCGAACCUAUUUUGUUGGCUUCUAGGAUUGACGUAAUGAUUAAUAGGGAUAGUUGGGGGCAUUAGUAUUCAAUUGUCAGAGGUGAAAUUCUUGGAUUUAUGAAGACUGACUACUGCGUAAAGCAUUUGCCAAGGAUGUUUCAUUAAUCAAGAACGAAAGUUAGGGAUCGAAGACGAUCAGAUACCGUCGUAGUCUUAACCAUAAA